Molecule: ribosomal RNA, 429 nt
Filed under: Fusobacteriota bacterium
Lineage: Bacteria; Fusobacteriati; Fusobacteriota
Description: Fusobacteria bacterium partial 16S ribosomal RNA
Rfam family: Bacterial small subunit ribosomal RNA
Source: RNAcentral
UGGGGAAUAUUGCGCAAUGGGCGAAAGCCUGACGCAGCGACGCCGCGUGAGGGAUGAAGGUUUUCGGAUCGUAAACCUCUGUCAGAAGGGAAGAAACCGCACUGUGCUAAUCAGCAGUGCCUUGACGGUACCUUCAAAGGAAGCACCGGCUAACUCCGUGCCAGCAGCCGCGGUAAUACGGAGGGUGCAAGCGUUCAUCGGAAUUACUGGGCGUAAAGCGCACGUAGGCUGCUUUGUAAGUCAGGGGUGAAAUCCCACGGCUCAACCGUGGAACUGCCUUUGAUACUGCUUAGCUUGAAUCCGGGAGAGGGUGGCGGAAUUCCAGGUGUAGGAGUGAAAUCCGUAGAUAUCUGGAGGAACAUCAGUGGCGAAGGCGGCCACCUGGACCGGUAUUGACGCUGAGGUGCGAAAGCGUGGGGAGCAAACAGG